This is a long non-coding RNA of Catharus ustulatus (Swainson's thrush), 2652 nucleotides long. RefSeq lists it as uncharacterized. The record is from RefSeq and is a predicted model, not a curated record. The transcript has 4 exons. Lineage: Eukaryota; Metazoa; Chordata; Aves; Passeriformes; Turdidae.
UUGCACCUUCCUAAACAUUUUGUUUCUCACUUACCCCACAGUCAGCAGCCCCUGGGAAACUGAGAAACCUGAGCAGCUAUAUCUGAAGAAGAAGGGAAGAGUAAGAGAAAUGGGACAAUUCACCCAAAAGGCUGCUCCCAGACAUUACUUUGGAAACUGAAGAGUGGAGACAUGCUUCAUUUCAUGAAGGAUUACUUCUUUAAUCAUUAAGGAACCAUCUCCAAAGUUUCCCGUGGCUUCUAGCAGCAGCAUAUGAAGGCACACAAACUCCCAGAUUCUCUGAGAGCAGAGGCAGCUCAAAGCCUGAGGAAGAAUCAGGACCACCGUCUCACCCACCAGAAAAACUCAUCAUGUUAUAACUGGAGUACUGCUCAACAAAAAUUGUUUCUCUCAGUUUCAGGAAGGAAUUGGUCUUCUGUGAAACUGAUGGAUUUAGCAGGAGCGAUGACAAAAACCAGCACAGCAGCACUAGACAGAUGCAGUGCAUCAAAGGGACCUCCUUUCAAGACUAGAAAAUAAGCUGGAAUCUUGCUUGCUAUAAUUUUGGGAUAUAACACCUUGGGUGUCAUCUAGGGAUGACUGUGUGCAAUGUAUUUUACUGUACAGACAAAUUUUCCACAUAAUCUCCCAGUUGUCACUGAACUGGCUUUGCAAUAAUAUCAACCAAAGAUUAUGUGAUAACUUCUGCUCUGUAUUUUUUUGUUCAGUUUGGUAGGGAUUUCUCUAAUGGAUCUUGAUCAAGGAUAUAAAGAGGGUCUAUCACCUCUUUGUGACACAGCCCCAAAUAGAAAACUAUUUUUUAAAAAGUGAGUGUGCUCCAGAACUUCCUGGUGAGGAAAUCAAGGGAUCUCCUGGAAGCUCUCAUGAGCCACAGUUAAGCAAAUGGGAGCAGAGUCUGUACUUUCCUGCAGUAUAUCACUUGUUAGCUCUCAGUCUGUAGGAAUUUUCUUUGUUCUUCUAAGAAGCAAGUAAUUAAAAAUCUGAAAACGGCAAAAUGCUAAGUGUUCAUAGAAGUCACAGAAUCAGAAGAAAAUUCUCUUCCUUGAAUAAGUUGAGGCCUGAUGUCAUUUGGUGGUAAGCAAAAAACCAGGAGCUAUUGGAAAUGAGACUGCCCACACAGAUGGAAGCCACAUCCAGGGAUGACAGACGUUUCUGAUGGAAUUGACAGGUAUUAAGGCAACCUACAUAUGAAGCUUCACAGAUUCAUGUUAUAUGUGGUUUUGACUGACCUCGUUUUAGAUACCUAAACUGUAGAUUUCUACCUCUGACCUCAUUGCUGGAGGCUCUUCUUGUAAUUGACACUCUGAAAGAGGUAUAUAGGUAGUUUUAGGGCAUGUUUCAUCUUAGCUGCUCUUGUCUUAGAUGAAUCUCAUUUUACAAAUGCAUAUUUCAUUUCACUCAUUAAAAAUUAAUUUUAGGCCACCAGUUCAGUCACAAAGCCAGAUCCACGUUAUAGUCAGUCACAUCAUAUCAAAUGUGAAGCUGAAAAUGCCAAUGUCCCAGCUGCAAAUAUCUUAGAACAAAAAAAUCUGAAAAGCUUCUGGUUCGUGGGGAAAAAGGAAAGCAGAAGUACUUCUAACAGCUAAAAAUCAUCAGCCACUUAGUAUGCUAUGAGGAAGCCAAGAGAUAUUGAAUUUGGACUACUUGUUACUAUGACUUCAUGCAACAUCAAGUAAUGAUUAAAGCAGGGUAUGAGGGAGCUGUUUUCACCUCGAUGAAAAGUGAUGGUAAAUCACAAAUCAUUGGUCUACUUGAACAACCUUCACCACCUCAGACACUGUAAGAAAGCCAAAUAGUGAUGUGAGGCCAUAUACUGAUGUUAAGAAAUAGUCCAUAAACAAUCUCUCAAAUAUUUACAACAUAAUACUUAAAAACAGGAAGAAAAACUGUAGCACUUUAAACUUUUCAUAGGUUAUCAUUUUCAACACACCUAAACAUGAAAUGAAAUGUCUCCUGGUUGUCUCAAUUCCACCAGAGCCUUUUAGAUUCAUUAAAGUGUUGAAAACCUUACAGGAUUAAUAAAUGACCCUCAUUUAAGAUAUGAGAAUUAAAGGCUUGCAGUCAGGUCGCUGUCUUUAAUUCCACAGGACAAAUAAGAAGUAUUUGGUAAGAGGGUAAACAGCAGCUACAUAACCAAACAGGAUUGGAAAGAACAGUCUGGGUCACCACAUCCAGUCUCAUCCUAAAAUCUCCUGAAUUUACAGAUCUCCAUCUAAAGAAAAUUUCUUUUUUUAUCCUAACGCCUUACUGAAAGUCUAUUGCAGAACCAUCAUCAAACCUUUAAGCCAAAGAUUAGAAUUUUUUUCUCUUGGUCAUAAUUAAUACAGGAAUUCCUGCAGUUUGUGUGCAGGUUAGACUAGCUGAGGAGAAUGAAAUAAAGGAAAAUUACCUUUUUUAUAAUCUCUGACCACCUUGCUUUCCUUAUCAGCUCAUAUGUCAUAGCAAACCUACUCAGUGCAACUACUUCUUCAGAAUGCUUUCUUGAACACCAUUAUUUCUUUGGCUGAAAGAGAAUACCUAUGUGCUGCUUUUGGCUGGGGUAGAGUUAAUUUUCUCCACAGUGGCUAGUAUGGGGCUACAUUUUGGAUUUGUGUUGGAAACAGAGGGAUUUGUGCUUGGUAUCACAGGAUAAUACACAGCUAUAACUGAGCA